This 80-nucleotide transfer RNA is filed under the name Viannamyia furcata. RNAcentral describes it as "tRNA-Gln". Lineage: Eukaryota; Metazoa; Arthropoda; Insecta; Diptera; Psychodidae. The record is from RNAcentral.
UAAAAAUAAAAUACAUUUUGAUGUAUGUAGCAUAAAAAUUUUUGAUAUUUUUAGGAAUAGUUAAAUUCUAUUAAAUGUAA